CUCUCUCACCUGCUCCCCUUCCAGCCUCCAGGAACGAAUCGACAGCCGCAAUGGCCUUGCUGCAGCUCCUCUUCCAUGGCUUCUCUGCCUUCGCCCCUUCCUCUCCGCCUCCCCCAUCCUUCUCUGCUCCGUUUUCUACGCCCAACUCCUCUUCCAUCACAGGUUGAUCGAGUCGUUCGACUCAAAAACCGCGACUAGUCGAGACUAGUCGGGACUAGUCGAUCAAGUCGCUCGACUCAUCCAAUGAUUCGAGUCGACAGGUUGAGUCAACCUUCAUGUAACGACUCGUCGACUAGUCGACGACUAGUCGCGACUAGUCGUUCGACUCGAAAUCCAUGGACAAAAUAUAAGAGCCUUUCUAACAAAUACACUUUUGCAGUUGAUAAAUUUAUUUGACACUCAUUUCGAAUCCGUGCAAGGGAUCUGUGCCACGUUGAUGCAUCAGAAAUGUGGCAGUUAAUAUUGACAGCAGCAGCUAAAGAAUAGACUAACUACCAAUGAACUAAAUAGCAUAGAGAAUCAUAACAAAAGGUCUGCUCUGACCAAAACAAAUAUGAAGGUAAUAUGAGCUUCAGAUUAUAAAAAACAGAGACAUAGCAGAUCAAAGGGCAAUCGAUAACCAGAUGAAUAGAACUGUCAAUAGCUACAAGCAUUGGAGGAAAAAAGGGCAAUCGUUUGACUCAUAUAUAGUACGUACAACUAGAAAGGCAAAAACGAUGCCAACUAGAAACCAACCCAAGUAAAGCUAGGGUUGUUGGGUUCGUCACCAAGAGAAGAUAUCAAUCCAGAUCCGGAUCUCACAUCAACACAAUAGAGAAAUAGAAAAUUAAAAACAAUGUAUAGUGGAGAAAAAAAAACUGAGUAUUUGUAGCGUAGCAAGAGGGCUCAGUUUUGCCUUUUAUCUUGAAGCCCAACACUCACGUCUCUUGCUGCAUAACCUACCCAUCGCGAUGUAAUUGAACUGCCCUGGUUAUCACUCAUCAGAAUGACCAUCCGAGGCGCAGAACAUCCAACAUUAGCCAUGAAUUGAAUAGGCUGCAAGAGAAGUAAGGGUGAGAGCUCUUAAGGGCAUCUCCAACGCCGGCACCCAUUUGGGGCCUAUUUAGUACCCACAUGCCACGGCUGUCUUGAUUGCUCAACACAUAAUUAUUUCAGCCGCAGGCAUCAUCAUCGCCCUUUUUUUUUAAAAAAAAAAAGGUCAAACCCCCCAAGCAACAUGACCAUAACAUCCAUCAUCCAUCCAUCCAUUCAUCCAUCAGACUAGCCAUAGUGGUGAGUAACUUAGACAAUCUCAGGAGCUGCUCAUACCUGGCCUUGACCGACCAAACCUCCUGGUGUGGACGACACAUCAGACAACGCCUUACGGUUCCCAGCCACGCCACAACCAAAUCCAAGGCAAUGGACUGGCGGCGGCUGGCAGCACCGUAGAGACCGGGAACUGACAUGGCAGCUACCCGGACGAUGGGUCAGCGAGUCGGCAAUGAAAGCUUGACUGAUUUGUUUAAGGGAGAGANNNNNNNNNNNNNNNNNNNNNNNNNNNNNNNNNNNNNNNNNNNNNNNNNNNNNNNNNNNNNNNNNNNNNNNNNNNNNNNNNNNNNNNNNNNNNNNNNNNNNNNNNNNNNNNNNNNNNNNNNNNNNNNNNNNNNNNNNNNNNNNNNNNNNNNNNNNNNNNNNNNNNNNNNNNNNNNNNNNNNNNNNNNNNNNNNNNNNNNNNNNNNNNNNNNNNNNNNNNNNNNNNNNNNNNNNNNNNNNNNNNNNNNNNNNNNNNNNNNNNNNNNNNNNNNNNNNNNNNNNNNNNNNNNNNNNNNNNNNNNNNNNNNNNCUCAGUUUUGCAUUUCAUCUUCAAACCCAACACUCACAUCUCUUGCUGCAUAAUCUACCCAUCACAAUGUAAGAGAACUGCCCUGGUUAUCACUCAUCAGAAUGACCGUCCAAGGUGCAGAACAUCCAACAUUACCGAUGAAUUGAACAGGCUGCAAGGGAGGUAAGGGUGGGCUCUAAUUUAGUACCCACAGGCCAGUCAUCAUCAUCGCCCCUCAUUUUUUACCGAAAAGGAGGUUGUACCCCCGGCCUUUGCCCACCAAGCAAGAUGACCCUCAUAUCCAUACAUACAUACUCCCUCUGUAAAGAAAUAUAAGAGCGCUUAGAUCAUGCUCCCUCCGUUUCUAAAUAUAAGCCUUUAUAGAGAUUCCAAUAUGGACUACAUACGGAGCAAAAUGAGUGAAUUUACAUGCGUGCACAUGUCCACCCAUCCAACCCCAUCAGCCUCAGGAGCUACUCAUGCCUGGCCUGGACCGAACAACCAAACCUGAUGACGCCCCAGAUAACACCGUAUGGUUCCCGGCUCACGCCACAGCCAAUUCCAAGGCAAUGGAACGGCAGAGGCUGGCAGCACCGCAGCAGUGAACUGAAGAGGGCACCACCCAGACGAUUGGACAGCGAGUUGGCAAUGAGAGCUCGACUGAUUUGGCUUAGGGUUAGAGGUAGAGGGGUGGGGGUAUAUGUAGCAUAGCAAAAGAGGCUCAGUUUUGUCUUCCAUCUUCAAGCCCAAACCCUCACCAUCUCUUGCUGCAUAAUCUACCCAUCACGAUGUAAGAGAACUGCCAUGGUUAUCACUCAACAGAAUGACCAUCCGAGGCACAAAGCAACCAACAUCAGCAAUGAAUUGGACAGGCUGCAAGAGAGGCAAGGGUGGGCUCUAAGGCCAACUCCAACGCGGACACCGAUUUGUUCAGCUCUGUUUAGUACCACCACGCCACGGCUGUCUUGAUUGCUCAAGACAUGAUUAUUUCAGCCAUCAUCAUCAUCACCAUCAUCAUUGCCCCUCUUUUUCCCCCAAAAAGGAGGUUCACCCCCCGUCCGGGAAGGCAACAUGACCAUGAUAUCCAGACAUACAUACUCCCUCCGUUCCAAGAUGUACUCCCUCCGUCCCAAACUAAGUGUCAUGGUUUUAGUUCAUGACACAUGAACGCAUACAUCCAUCCAUCCAUCCUGCUCAGGAGCUGCUCAUACCUGGCCUCGACCGACCAAAUCUCCCAGCUCGAACGACGCAUCAGACAACAGAGCACAGUUCCAGCCCACGCCACAACCGAAUCCAAGGCAAUGGAACGGCGGUGGCUGGCGGCUCCGUAGCGGUGUGGAACUGAUGCAGCGGCCACCGGGACGAUGGGUCAGGGAUCCGGCAACGAGAGCUCGCCUGAUUCGGUUUAGGACUUACCGGUGUGAACAAUGCUCGCGCGCAGACACAGAGUGAGCGAGUGUGUGUGAGCCUGAGAGAGAGAGAGAGAGAGAGAGAGAGAUGGGGAUAGUACCGAAUCGAAAGCAACAUGCAGCCAAGCUGCGACGGCGGCUCAGAUCCCGCGCCGGCCCGACCAAGCCCUCGACCGGAGCGCACCACGGGCCCCGCCGCCCGGUCCCCAGCCCGCGCCGCUGCGGACGCCUCCCGCACAGGCGGCAUUCCCGAGGGGGGCCCCCGAGCCGAUGCGUGACGGCGCGGCGGGAGGGGCUGGGCCCGAGGAGAGGCGACCCGGCGCGCCCGCCGCUCGGGAGACCGGCCGGCGCCAGGCGGCUCCUCCAUCAUCGCCGCCGUUUGGGGAGGGACGCGGCCAUCAGCCACGGCGAGCGGGACGGACGGUGCGGCGGUAUUCGAUUGGAUCCGAUUAGAGCGGUCGCAUCGCGUGCUAUGCUCGCCGCCGCACGCAGCCAUGCCGCCGGUGGCCUCUCGCAGCUGGACUGAUCUGAGGUAGCUAGCUAGCUAGGGUUCGGCGGCGACGGGAGAGGAGAAGAGAUGGAUCCAAAUUAAGUUUCUGAUGAAAAUGGUGAUUUAGGCAAAGGUAACCCGAGGAGGCCUGCGAGGGCCGAAUGAAAGAAAGGGGGACUGGUCUCACGGUGCAUUUUCUCUUGGCAUUUUAUUUUAGAGUAAAAUGCACCGGCAGUCACUCUACUUGCGAAAAGCGCUCAGUUUGGUCACUGUACUUAGAGAUACGGCCAAUACGAUCACCCAAUACAACAAGACGUGUUUGUACGAUCACUAUUACUCGUAUGCCACCCGACGCCGCUUGGUUUGACCACGUAUUGACCUAUCCUUGACGACAGCUGGCAUUAAGCAGGCGGUAGCGCGGUGUUUUUGCAGAAUCCCCCCUGGUUCGUUGUGCUUUAGCCCAAAACGCCUUGCCUGUUCGGCUUCGAUCAUAACAGGGGGAGGAGGAGGAGAGCAGGGGCAGAGGAGGCGAUCGUCGGCGGCAGCGCACCAUCUCCGGUCAUCGAGAUCGCGAAAGGGCCGGAGUCGCCGCGGAGGUGCGCCGCAUCUCCUCAGGAUGGCGCUUGUUCGUCGGCCAGAUGGAGCUCCUCCACCGUACUACGGUAAGCCCCACGUACAUCCGCCAUGAUUGGUGCUUGCAGUCUCCGAUUCCGCGAUUUAGGGUUUCGCAUUGUGCACAUGGAGUUAGGAGGCCAAUUUUGCCCGCAAGUUUUCACAAGAUUUAAGCUAGGGUUUUUGCCUAACAAAUUGGGGGUUUCGGUGUAUGGUUUUUGGCUGACAAAUUAGGGGCUAAGUGCUUGUUUGUGGGUCAUUCUGAAGCAAUUGUAGGCCUUUUAGAUGUUUGAACAUACUAUUGGGGUUUUAGGUUAGCAAAGGUGGUUCCUUGUAGGACAGAAUUGUGCAGAAUUGUGCUCUGUUUUCAUCUUUGACAGUUGACAGAAUUGUGCUCUGUUUUCAUCUUUGACAGAAUUGUGCUUUGUUCUCAUCUUUGUAGGACCACGCAGCAGGAAAUUUUUAGUUCAAUUUAACCAUGGUGGAUAUUUCCUUGGCAAAGGUAGCAACCGUUCUUAUGUCAAUGGGCAUGUGUUGUGGUAUCAUGAUUUGGAUACAGUGACAUGGUCCCCAAUCAUGGUUGAGCACCUAGUUGAGGAGAUUGGUUGGGAGAUGGCAGGAAGGCUGAAGGUUUACUACUACAUUCCAAUCCUAACCUUGCAGAAGAAUGGCUUGAGAGGAAUAAGAGGAGAUGGAGACACAGACCAGAUGAUAACCUUUGUUGAUCUUGGCCACCACUCAUUCAGUCUGUAUUUAGACCAUGAAGACAGUCCGAAUUCAAAUGAUGAUGAUGAUGUGGUCAAUUUCCCAAGAGUGCAUCUACCCCCAGUGUUUAGUCCUUCUAAGAAAGAGUUGAUCGGUCAGAAAGUACUGAGGCUGUAAAUGCAGAGACAGAUGUUCAUGUCCCUGAAGGUGUAGGGCAGGAAGGUGAAGCAAUCCCAAUACAAGUUGUGUAUCCAGAGAGCUUAGAUGUUGAUGUGGGCAAUUAUGUGUUUGCAAGGAGGGAUUGUUCUUUUGGUAACCAGGAUGAAAAUGCUGCAGCUCCAGAUGAUCUCCAGGAAGCAAUACAACACGGAAGUGAUGAAGCUGGAUUAUCAAGAGUAUGCAAAAGGAAAAGCAGACAGAAAAGCAGUUCUGAUUACAUUGAAGAUGUUGAUAGUGACUCAGAUGACUCUGACUUUGAUCCUGGAGCCAUAGUGGACAGUGACUAUGACAUUAGUGAUGGUGAUGAUGAUUUCUAUGCUGACAAUGUAGACAUGGAUGAGCCUGUGGUGACAGAGAAGAAGAAAGAAGAGAAAGGGAAGCAAAAAGUUGAAAAGGGAAAAGAAGCGGUGAAAGGAAAUGAGAAAUAUGGAGAUAAAGCAGCAGCAUAUGAUCAUGAAGAUGAGUUAUAUGCUGACAAUUUUGUAACCAGUUCUACAAUAUACUUCUUUACCCUACUUAUGACUAUGCUUAAUGCCCUGGUUAUAACAUUGCCCAACAUAUGGUCACAUUUGUCCUUUCCAACUUGGAGCAGUUCCAUAGUUAUUUUGCAAGCAAAAUGAACACAACAUUUCAUUGCCUAAUUUGAUAGCACACACACAAGCAUCAGCAACUAGCUUUGCAAUGCACACACACAAGCCAAAUAUGACAAUGGUCAAAUGUGCCCAAAUUGACAACACACACACACACACACACAAGCAUCAUAAACUAGCUUUGCAAUGCACACACACAAGCCAAAUAUGACAAUGGUCAAAUGUGCCCAAAUUGACAGCAUCACCAUAAGACAUCAAAGAUGAUCCAUUAACUUCCAUUUACAGUACAAGAUUGUCACUUGCAUUACAUAUUACCAGAUACAAUGCAAAAGAUUGUCACUUGACACUAACAAUACUACCACAUAGUACCAGCUCAUCUCCUAACAAACUAGGCAUCAUUCCUAACACACUAACAGUGAAAUAGCCAUACUGCAUGAACUACAUAUUGCAUCUACUCCAUCACUUCUUCAGCAGAGAAAUAACUACAAGCACUGCAACUACAAUGAGUGUUGCCAACAGUGCCUUCAUCAUCACCAAUAUUUCAUUGCCUAAACCUACAAGUGCCUCUGCUUGCUGAUUGCUCAUUUGCCCUGGAACUCUUCCAUGAUUUCCAACUUCAAAGCCUGGAAGUUCAACUGCGCCUCCACCUGCAUAACUUUCAUUCCUUGCUUGCACCAGCUCUUCCCUCCUAUCUUCUGCAACUCCUAAUGCAUCUACGGCUUCAUUGCCCGCGAGAAACUGAUUAUCCAGCAAUUAGCCAAUGUAUUCCAACUCCCAAUGCCAUAAAUGGUCCUGAAGAUCAAAAGAAAAGAACAAAUGCCAAAAAUCACAUUACAAGUUCCCAAGAUUCGACCAAAAUGAAGAACAGGGAUGCACUCCACUUACACCAACAGGACACCUGUAGAAGACCCAACCCUCGUGCUUCUCCGUGUUGGAGAGAUAGAACUUAACACGAGUGCGGCAAGAAGGGCAUCUGAUGAGUGGCACCACCAUCGAACGACCACCGAACGAAUACCUGACCGAGCUCGUCGACAUGGGGAGUGGGAGGGAGAGGAGAGGGAGGCGGCAACCGGCAAGGAGAGGGUGGCGGCAAGCGGCAGGGAGACGCCGCCGACAAGCAGCACGGAAGAGGGCAACGACAAAUAGCAGGGAGAGGGCGGCGGCAGAGUGGGGAAUUAAGGAUUCCGCCACAGCGUGGGGUAUUUCAGGGUGGUCGAUGGAUAAUUACAUGCGCGGGGCUAAUUUGCAGAAAUAACCCUCAUCGUGCCGAUGUGGACGACACUGUCUGGUUAAAGCGAGCGGCGACGGGUGGCAUACGAGCAACAGUGACCGUACAAACACGUGUUGUCGUAUUGGGUGACCGUAUUUGUCGUAUUUCUAAGUACAGUGACCAAACUGAACGCUCUUCGCAAGUUGAGUGACUGCCAGUGCAUUUUACUCUUUAUUUUAUUCAACAAGGUCGGCUAAUUUUUCUACAGAAAACUUCUGAUCUAUUCAUGGCAAUCAUGAUAGUACAAAGAACAUCAAAAGUAACAAAAAUUCAAUUUAAAUUUGUAGAUCAUCUAGCGACGACUACAAACACCGAAGGCGUGGCACCAUCAUCGCCCUACACUCGUCGAAGCCGUGCAAAUUUUGUUGUAGUAGAUAGCCGGAAAGUUGUCGUGCUAAGACCCCAUAGUACCAUAACAACAACCACCGCCGAUGAAAAUAAACUAAGAUUGAAAGGAUCUAACUCGAAGACACAAGAAUAUAUAUGAACAAAGACCGGAUCCGAGCUGAUCCACCAAAAACAACCAUGACUAAACCCCUGUGAGAUACGAUGGAGACACACAUCUACACGCACUCCGACGAUGCUAGACGCACCUUAUGGAUGAGGGCUAGGCGGGGAGAACCUUAUUCCGUCUUCAGGGAGUCAUCGUCGUCCGGCCUUCCACUACACAUAACACAAACCCUAACAAAACUCAAAGAAACAUCUAAAAAUGGAGUCCUCCCGCCGGAAAGGGUCGGGAUCCACCACACCAUAUGGCACUAAGGCCGCAUGAGACGAGGCAGAGCAGAUUGGCGGCGCCAACAGUAGGCGGGAACCCUAGUCGCGUGUUCGCUUGGGAGGAGAGAUGGAGAGAUAAGUUGAAUCGGAACAACGUGUUGGCCAGUUCUUUUGUGGCUUACUUGGAGCUGUGGAAGUUGCCCCUACCCAGUUUAUUCUAAAAGCCUAAUAUAAAAUAUUACUUUAGAAACUUCCUAAUUAAGGGUUAUCAGUCAAACAUGGACCAUCAAUCAACAACAAUUACUAAAUCCACCUCAAACAACGUCCCCCUUCAUAUAGCUAAAAAUAGAGAACCUAGGGCCCGUUCGGAUCCCGUCAUCGCCCGUGCGCAGAACAGACGGGAGACACCAGGGACUGCAAACGUCCCUUGCCGAUUCAUAGAUAGAGCGCAAGGUGAGGGCCUACCGCAAUGAGAAAUGCACGAAAUGACACAACAAUCUACCCAGGUUCGGGCCGCAUGAUUUUGCAAUGCCCUACUACUUCUUCAUGUGUGGUUUAUUUGGUGAGCAGUGGACUACAAGUCCUUUACGGGAACAGUAAGAGUAGUGUACUCCUACCGGUGUUCUACCAAGCAUUCAACCCUCUUCUUAGUAGCCAGGUCCUCCCAAGGGGUAUCAUAAUGGCUUCAUUGCUAAGGAAACUACCUCGCCCCGACAAGGUAGGUACGCGCAUUAAAUGCGCGAUGAAGUGUUAUCGUCUCCUGACUCCCGGGAAUGAACAACCAUCUUUUCACCGCCGCUCAAGGUGGUGCCUUCGUCUGGUCAUCCUUUCAGUAUGUAAGCGGAUGACUUGACCCCGGCGCCGCUGUAACUGCACCGCCCAGGCUGCCUGCUAAGGAUGGCAAUUUUAUCCAUGGAUAUCCGACCCGAAUGGAUAGGGUUUGGAUGUGCUUUUGUGUCCAUGGCGGCGCCCAAACCCGACCCGAUUGUUCGUGGGUAGGGCAUGGAUAUAAUAUUGUACCCAUGGAUAUACCCAAACCCGACCCAAUAGUAUGACUUAAUGGGGGAAAAUGUGCUAUCCCUACCCCACGGUCACAUGUCCCACGACAAUUUUACACUUUUUUUAAUCUAAAACAUGCACAAGAAGUUACACAAUCCCCAUUGUAACUUUUAUGAGUUGACAUUCAAUCCCCUCCGUAACAUACUCCAAUGCCCCUUCCCUUAUUUUUAUCUCCUUAAAUGACUCGUCAUUCUCAUCUGUUAGAAAAAUACUAAAUGAUCUUAGGUUGUUAGUGGAUGUUGAUUUAUCAUAAGUGAAGCCUAGCCUGCCACGAGGUGAAGAAUGGAAGAGUUUAUGUUUAUAUUGUGUUACGUCUUAUUUAUAUGUCUCGAGAGGACCCAAUGGAUAUCUAGUGGGUAUGGAUAUCCAUCGGAUUUGGACAUGGACACAGUUUUUCACCCAUGGAUUUUUUCAUGGGCGGGCAAAGACUGUCUUUAUGGAUAUGGAUAUGGAUUUCAUAUUGUUCAACCCGAUCCAAACCCGACCCAUUGCCAUCUUCACUCAUGACGUGACACAAAAAGGACUGUACAAGCAAGAAGAACUAAUGCCAUGUGUUGUAGAAGAACUAAUGCAAUGAUGCCACAUCACCAAGUUAUGCAUGGAGUCACAAGUUACUUUUUACAUUAAUCCCUUCAUGUAAAACAUACCACCUCAUGCAUGACUUUUUUUUCCAGGGAAUUAAGUCAUGUAAGACACUUUUGCAUCUGUUUUUGCAUUAAUUUUAGUCUUAUUAUAUCAUUUAAUCGUACAUGUUUUUAUUCUUAAAAUAGCUACAAACCACCACCUAGUUUUCCUUUCCACGCAACAAUGCCUCAACAAAGUUAUGCAUGGAGUCAUAAGUUACUUUUUUUAUUAACCCUUUCAUGCAAAACAUACCACCUCAUGCAUGACUUUUCAAGGGAAUUAAGUCAUGUGAGACACUUCUAUAUUUGUUUUUUACAUUUAUUUUAGUCGUAUAUCACUUAAGGUCUUAAGCAUACAAUUAUUUAACAAGGUUCCCGCAGCAACUCGCGGGACAUCGCCUAGUGUUCCGAAACCAUGGUUUCAACACAAGGAAACCAUGCGUUCAACACAAGCUGGGUACUUGUGUGGAUGUCCAUAUCCGAUUGACCAGCUGACCGCUAGUCGCCGUACCUAAACAUAUCUAUACCACUACCAUUUAAUGUACAUUAUUUAUUUAUUUUUGAACCGGGCAUAACCCCUUUCCAUUACUGCGACAUAACGGAAAUACAAACAAGUCCACAGAAUGAGACGGGAGAGGGGAAGCGGGUUCAAGCAUAGCCGAGAAACCUACUGUGAGCACUCGCCAUCGAGAUAAACCACUGUAGGGCAAAAACCCGGCGACACCAAGUCAUUCAGAGUUUCAGACGAGGCAACCCCCAGACAGCUCACAGGUGAGCACCAAAAUGACAGUCCCACACAGGGGAGAGACUUCAGGAAUGAAACAUAAAACCGAGGCAACAUCAGAAAUACGCGUCUUCUUGUGAUGACGCAUCACCAUUCCCUCCAGCAGUUCUCCAGCGAGCUUCUCAGUCUUCGUUUGCAACGCAGAUGCGCAUCAGCCUCAAUGCACUAUUCUUCAGCAUGUCUACACCUGCUCGCAGGUCCACCACAUCCUCUUGCUUCAACAGUCUUGCCCAGUAACCAAGAAAAGCACACAUAGAAAAGCAACAUUCAAAAGGUGUUUGCAAACACUUAGAUUCGAACGUAACACCAUUGCGACAUGUCCAAAUAGCCCAGCAAAGUGCAGCUAUGCCAACUGUGUAGAAAAUCUCCCCACUUGGAAAGUAAACAUAACACCAGGAGUAAGCCUGCCAUAAACUGUUCGGGCACAAAUCAGUGCCGAGUAUGCAGGCAACACUUCUCCAAGUCACCCUAGCUAUAGGGCAAGUUAAGAAGAGAUGCUGAGAAGUCUCAUUCUCUCCACAGAAUGAACAUUUCGGGUUUCCUUUCCACCCUCUUUUUUUCAUCACCUCCCGAGUAAGGAUAGCAUCCUGGAAUAGCUGCCACAUAAAGAUUUUGAUCUUUAAAGGAACACCAGCUUUCCAAACCCACCCAAAACUGCACCCUGUGAUGUUUCUUUCCAAGAAAGAAUAAACCGAUUUGGUCGUAAAGACUUUUUUGGGACCCAGGCCCCACUUAAUGUAAUCUAAUUCAUCAGAUACACAGCUACCUCUAGCCUCCGAAAGAAACAUUGCAUUCAGGUACACUUAAUGUAAUCUCCUUCCAAAGAAAGUUAAAGGAUCUGCCUCCCAGCAAUUUUCCACAGUGCAUUCAGGGGAGUUGCAGAUUGAGAAUAACUGAAGGGAACUGGUCCUUAAAUGGUUUCUGAUCACCAAUGGGAUCGAUCCAAACCCUUGCUAUAUUCCUAGAUUGAAUAAUAACUCUUCUGCCAUAUAAAGGUUUUUCACCUUCAUAAUAGCUUUCCAGCAAGGCGAAUCAUUCACCUUUGCUUUGACAGAAGCUACCGUAUCUCUACCAAGGUAUUUAGCUUUAAUAAUCUCCUGCCAAAGACCAUUUUUGGUCUCCAACUUCCACCACCAUUUAGUAAGAAGGCUUAGGUUUUGCUUAUGUAAAUCUUUCACACCCAAACCACCUUUCUCCUUCGAUCUACAGAUACGAGUCCAUCGCACUAGAUAGUAGCGUUUUCUCUUUUUAGACACUUGCCAAAAAAAUCUUCUACAGUGUUUAUCCAACCUGUCAAUAAUGGUCUUCGACAGGAGGAACAUAGAUAAGUGUACAUUAUAACUGUUGAUCAUUUAAAUCUAGGACAUUGAUAAGUGUCACACGGGUGACACAAACACACGGCAACUUCGAAUAUUUUUCAGACAAGUUUAGUGACAUGAGGAUGAAUACUUUCUUUUCAAAUGGCAGGUUUACUUUUUUUAGGCUUUUUUUCAGAUGGCAAUUUUAGUUGUAAAAAACGUCAGGUCCAGAUUGCUUCGUGCAUGACACUUAUCAUUUGGGUAAAUGGUCGAGAGUAGUAGUAGCCUGCCACUACCUCCACCGUAUUGAACAUUGCUUGCAGCUUGAGCUGAGUAGCUGAAACUGCCAGUUCCAAUCCAGCCGAUGGAGACUGCGGCACUUCAGAAUCCAGAUGAAACUGUAUAACGAGACAUAACGGUAGACAGGUAGAGGAAACUCAAUAUUUAGAUUCUCAACAUUAUGCCUCUAGGUAAUGAAUAAUAAAAAUCUUCCUUACAAAUAGUAGUUAUGUACUGGGCAUUAUCUGUGUAUGUAUAGCAACAAUUUCAAAUAGUUUAUUCUGAUAUUUACUGGGCAUUAUCUAUGUAUAUGUAUGGCAACACUGAACAUAUAUAUGGCUAGAAAAUAGUCAAGAAUAUUCAGGGACAACUGUAGUUCUCGCAAAACGAAAUACACCUUCUGUUCCUAAAUGUAAGACGUUAAUUGAACUGCCAAAACAGCUUACAUUUAGGAACAGAGGUAGUACUUAAAAAUCUCAAACAACAUAACUUACAAACAGCAUCAACAGGCCACUAAAUUCUGGGAGUAAACUGUACUAGGCACAUAGCUGUCAAAAACAAAAUACAGGGAACUGGUUCCAGAGAUGAAAAAGAGGAAUAAUAUUGUAAGUACAGAUUGUGUGGUACUAGUACAGUUGCACCGAGGGCUCAUGCAUAAAGCCAAGCCACUGACAUGGCAAUUACUAGUAUUCUCGCCAUCUUAAUGCUCAUAUGCACUCACACUCGGUUGCAUCCUAAUGUGAUUGACCAUAUGAAUUACAGCACCACCAACACUUGCAUAUAUGACUUGAACAGGCAUCACUACAGAGAAGGGCGGCCAUAUAAAAAAGCAGGAAGGACUAAACAGGAACGCUGAGCAUAGAAACAGAACAUGCAAGUAACAAAGGACGUACAGUUGCAAAUAACAGCAUAUUUUGAACAAAAGAUGUGAAGCCCUCUGCCGCUUCCCAGGGCCCUCAAAUAAAGUAGAACCUCUUGAUGCAUCAGUAAGUAAAAGCAUUCUGAGUAUGUAAGUGUAAAAUAGCACAAAAUCCAGUUUGCUAUGAGCAUAUCUUGUAAGUUCCACAGAUGAUAACAUAUAUUACAGUGAGAUCCCAAUACUGCUAUAGUUCAUUAAUAGAUUGAGAAUAUUCAAAAACAUACAUAAGCAAAUAACCACAGAUUGUAGAAAGAGAGGUCAUAUUUAUCAAUAAAAAUGGGAGGCUCAGAGUUGGCUUGUCUAUCAUAUGGUCAACCCACUCUGUAUAGUGUAUCCUUGGUGAUCCGCGUUGGAGAUGCCCUUACACCCGUGUGACAUUUGAGCAUUGAAAUGGUUGCUCACAGAAAGCAAGCCGUCCCGAUUUGCACACUUCCACCUAGUCACACAAAACCCUAACCCAAAACCAUACCCGUAAAACAAGCAAUAGUAUCUGAACUCAGUACACCUCUAAUGAGCCUUACUCAUCAUCGCCAUCAACAGAACUUAGCACAAAUUCCACAAACAGAAUAACAGAGAAGCCAAUAGCAAAUCAUGAUCUGGUGGGCACAAAAGUUGGGACGUGUACAAGUAAAUGGCUCAGAUAUACCCCCAGCUCAACACCAUAACUGAACUUCUGGUAGAAGGACCAUGGAAUCUCUCUCUCUCCCUCUCUCUCUCCCUCCCUCCGUCCCUCCCUCCCUCCCUCCCUCCACUGUUAAGUGUAUUCAUAAUUCCAACAUUUAAGAAUUAUAGUUAGCCGCUAAACUGGUUACUUGCUGUCACACAAGCCCUCCUAGUUUAGUACCAACUGAAUCAGUUCAGGUGUUAGACAGAAGCUCUCACAGGGAAGCUAUAUCAUCACAGCCAUUCAUGGACAUGACAGGAAGGAAACAGUAAUGUUCGCAUCUGAACUUGCCCUAUAUGACCUUUAAGUCGAAAUCAGUAAAGAAGUAAAAUUAUCCGAAAAUACUAGUAACUGAUAAGUGGAUACAGUACAGUAAAAGAAUGAAAUUAUCAAAAGUCAAAUAGCAAUUGAAAGAAGAAAACUGACCCCGCACCAAAUAAGAUAGUUUCGAAAACUUUCCAAGGGAAAGCAGAACUAUCAUAGCAUUCAAGAAAAAGGGAGAACAGAAGGAAAAUGUGAGUACUGUUCCUAAAACAACAGAACUGGUUGACAUACAGCAAAACAAACAAAAUGGGUAAAAUGGGUAGGAAAAAAGGCCGAAAUGUAACCUUGCAAAACAGUCCUUUGCAUACCGAAAGAACUAAAACCAAAACCAAACUCUCAUCAUAUCUUUUAUGUAUACAUGGAUACAGGCCGGCAAGAAAGACAAAUUCUCAAAAAGGUAAAGAUAGUCAUGGUAUUUUCACAACACAAGAUUUUUGUGGUUUUCCACGUAUUGGCGUCUAUAAGCAUUAGAAUGGUCAUCAGCAAAAAAACAAACCGGCCAAAUUGUAUUCUUAGAGGCCAGUUAGCAGUUGCUGUGCUAUGCCAAGACAGUAGAAAAAAUGUUGAAAUCUUGCAGACUUGAAUUUACAUCACUGCCAUAAGAACCACUAGAAAUUUAAUGGGGACAUAAAGGAGGACAUGCAGACAGGAAAAGAGGGCAAACAUUUGCUGAUCAUGUUUCACACAUUUAACCCCAUGAAAAGAAGGAAGUAAACACAUUCAACCACUACCAAUACUAGGACCACCACAAUGUGACGAGCUUGAGCAAAGCCUGAAUGCGCAAAACUGGUCCCUCCAUGGACCACAAAAUCAGGAGAAGGCAAACCAAACACCAUGACAAUUUAUCACUUUAAACAUAAUAACUUUUUUAUGAAUUGGAUGUGGGAGCGCACAGUAUUAGUUGCAUUGAGAGGGCUCAGAUUCGCCUUUGAUAGAUCAUACUAGCCCCGCCAUCUUCUUUCACCAGAUCAUCCCCCACCAUUGAAGUCAAGCUUUGCUGGUUAUCACUCAACAGAAUGACCAUCCAAGACAGAGCCGCCAAUAUUCGGUGAGAAUGAAAAGGUCCCAAAAGAGGGGAGAUCGGGUUUUGAUACCCACAGCUCCUCAAAUAAUCGAAGACAGGUUUAUGUCAGCCAUGUUUGAUCAUCAUCGCCCCUCAUAGAUAGAUACUCCCUCUGUUCACAAAUAUAAGAUGUUCUAACUUUUUUAUGAAUCGGAUGUAGGAGGGCUCACAUUCGCCUUUGAUAGAUCAUACUAGCUCCACCAUCUUCCUUGACCAGAUCAAACCCCACCAUUGAAGUCAAGCUCUGCUGGUUAUUACUCAACAGAAUGACCAUCCAAGACAGAGCCGUCAAUAUUCGGUGAGAAUGAAAAGGUCCCAAAAGAGAGGAGAUCGGAUUUUUGAUACCCACGGCUCCUCGAAUAAUCUAAGACAAGUUCAUGUCAGACAUGUUUGACCAUCAUCUCCCCUGAUAUGGAUAGAUAGAUAGAUAGAUAGAUACUCCCUCCGUUCACAAAUAUAACAGUAUUUGUAGCAUAGCAAAGAGGGCUCAGUAUGCGUGUCAUCUUGAAGCCCAACACUCACAAGUCUUGCUGCAUGAUCUACCCAUCGUGAUGUAAGAGAACUGACCUGGUUAUCACUCAUCAGAAUGACCGUCCGAGGCGCAGAACAUCCAACAUUAGCGAUGAAUUGACCAGGCUGCAAGAGAGGUAAGGGUGGGCUCUUAAGGGCAUCUCCAACGUGGGCGCACCCAUUCAGGCCCUAUUUAGUACCCAUACGUCACGGCUGUCUUGAUUGCUCAAGACAUAAUUAUUUCAGCCACACGCAUCAUCAUCGCCCCUCAUUUUUUUCCCAAAAGGACGCCGAACCACAAGCAACAUGACCAUGAUAUACAUACACAUAGGCAUGCAUACACCCAUCCGUCCGUCCAUCCAUCCAUCUCAGGAACUGCUCAUACCUGGCCUCGACCAACCAAACCUCCCGCUCAGACGACGCAUCAGACAACACCGUACGGUUCCCAGCCAACGCCACAAACCGAAUCCAAGGCAGUGGAAUGGCGGUGGCUGGCCCCGUAGCGGUGUGGAACUGAUGCAGCGACCACCCAUCCGAUGGGUCAGUGAGUCGGCACUGAGAACUCAACUGAUUUGGUUUAGGGUUUGAAGAGAGAGACAGAGGGAGAGGUUACAAAGAUCGUAAGCAAAAGAUGGCUCAGUUUUGCAUUACAUCUUCAAACCCAACACUCACAUCUCUUGCUGCAUAAUCUACCCAUCGCGAUAUAAGAGAACUGCCCUGGUUAUCACUCAUCAGAGUGACCAUCCGAGGGACAGCCAUCCAACAUCAGCCAUGAAUUGAACAGGCUACAAGAGAGGUAAGGGUGGGCUCUAAGGCCAACUCCAACGCGGCCACUGAUUCUAUUUAGAGCAUGGUUAAUAGUAUAGCUGGCUGCUGGCUAUAGGCCGUCUUGAUUGCUCAAGACAACUUAUUUUAGCCACAGUCGUCAACAUCAUCAUCAUCAUCGCCUGCUGCACACCAAGCAACAUGAUAUCAUGUACUCCCUCCGUCCGAAAAUACUUGUCAUCGAAAUGGAUAAAAGAGGAUGUAUCUAGACGGGAGUAUGCAUGCAUCCAUCCAUCCUGCUCAGGGCAUGUACAAUGGUGGCAUAUGUAUUAUACCAGGCCUCGACCGACCAAACCCCCCGCACGGACGACACAUCAGACAAUCACCCUACGGUUCCCUGCCCGCGCCACAACCGAAUCCAAGCCAAUGGAAUGGCGGUGGCCGGCGGCACCGUGGCGCUGGGGAACUGACGCGGCGCCCGCCGGGACGACGGGUCAGCGAUGCGGCAACGAGAGCUCGGCUGAUUUGGUUCAGGUGCGCGCGUCCACACCGAGGGAAAGAGAGAGCGCGUGUGAAUCAGAGAGAGAGAGAGAGAGAUGGUGACAGUACCGAACCCGAAGCAAGAUGCAGCCAAGCUGCCAAGAUUCCAUCGACGGCGGCUCAGAUCCGGCGCCAGCACGAGCAAGCCCUCGACCGGGACCCGCCACAGGCCGCGCCGCCGCGGACGCCCCCCGGCACCGGCGGCAUCGCCUAGGGGUCGCCAAGCCGAUGCGCGGGGCGCGGCGGGAGGGGCUGGCCCCGAGGAGCGGCGAGUCCGCCUGUCGGGAGCCUGGCCGGCCGUCGCCGGCGGCUCCCUCCAUCAUCGCCGCCGUUCGGAGAGGGGAGAGGAGAAGAGAUGGAUCCAGAUCCGCAUGGGGGAUGGAUCUUCGCUCCAGUUCCAGAUCCGCGGCAGGUACAAGGGUCAAAACACGAAAUUUUGCCAAAAGCCAUGGAGGAGACUCAUCACUGGAGAGGAAGAGAAGCCCCGGGAGACGAGAUCACGAGAGUGGCGGCUAGACUUGACCGGGCGGUGCACGUGUCGUGUUG
RNAcentral lists this long non-coding RNA (17187 nucleotides) under Triticum aestivum (bread wheat). RNAcentral's name for it is "long non-coding RNA (TAES_LNC016995)". Lineage: Eukaryota; Viridiplantae; Streptophyta; Magnoliopsida; Poales; Poaceae. The record is from RNAcentral.